Aquila chrysaetos chrysaetos is the source of this 145-nucleotide long non-coding RNA. RefSeq lists it as uncharacterized. NCBI's taxonomy places the organism in Eukaryota, Metazoa, Chordata, Aves, Accipitriformes, Accipitridae. The record is from RefSeq and is a predicted model, not a curated record. The transcript is spliced from 3 exons.
GGUGGUAAUCCACAAAGCUAGCACACCUCAUACCUAGACAGGCAAGCAAUUUAUACAGUUCAGUUAUACAUAUUUAAUUUCCAAAGUUCUUCCCUAAAACUAUUACUGGUAGUCGCUUAUCUAGCACGGAGAGAAGAGAUAUUAA